AAAGCAGAAAUCUUCAACACCAAGAACCGAACUUUUCAGGCGGCACAAGCAGAGGAGUCUCGAUGGAGUUAGCCGACAGAGCUGUUGGGCUCAUUUUAACAUUGACUAGUUUGUCCAUUUUUACAUAUUAUACCUUCUGGGUUAUCAUUCUGCCUCUUGUUGAUAGCGAUCAUUUCGUGCACAAGUAUUUUCUACCACAAGAAUACGCUAUUCUCAUUCCUGUAUAUGCUGCAGUGGCGCUGAUCUGCUUAUUGAGCGUGUUUAUUGGAUACGUCAUGCUCAAGUCCAAGAAGAAGAAGGCAUGAUGUAGCUGCGGCAAGUCCAUUGUUUGCUCUAUCGAGUUCAUGAUAAUUGAUCAUCUUUUUAGUGCUUCUCAUUUUGAAUAGCCCAUGCCGGAGAGCACAUAGUUUUUUUUUCUGUAUUCUCGAGUCAACUACAAUUUGGAACCUCUCGAUAUGAUUUUGUAGUAGUCACUACUCACUACUCACUACACAGGUAUUAAACAAAACAUGGUUGAUUUAUUCUCUUGUUAUUAGCUGGAGGAGUGUAAAAAACCUUGAUCAAU
RNAcentral lists this unclassified non-coding RNA (565 nucleotides) under Hevea brasiliensis (rubber tree). The record is from RNAcentral. Lineage: Eukaryota; Viridiplantae; Streptophyta; Magnoliopsida; Malpighiales; Euphorbiaceae.